RNAcentral lists this ribosomal RNA (424 nucleotides) under uncultured prokaryote. Its description in RNAcentral is "bacterial SSU rRNA". It matches the Rfam family "Bacterial small subunit ribosomal RNA", at positions 355 to 796 of the family's 1533-position model. The record is from RNAcentral.
UGGGGAAUAUUGGACAAUGGGCGCAAGCCUGAUCCAGCCAUGCCGCGUGAGUGACGAAGGCCCUAGGGUUGUAAAGCUCUUUCAGUGGUGACGAUGAUGACGGUAGCCACAGAAGACGCCCCGGCUAACUCCGUGCGAGCAGCCGCGGUAAUACAGAGGGUGCAAACGUUGUUCGGAAUUACUGGGCGUAAAGAGCGUGUAGGCGGCACGUUAAGUCGACUGUGAAAGCCCAUGGCUCAACCAUGGAAGUGCAGUCGAUACAGGCAUGCUAGAGUCCCGGAGAGGGUGGUGGAAUUCCCAGUGUAGAGGUGAAAUUCGUAGAUAUUGGGAGGAACACCAGUGGCGAAGGCGACCACCUGGACGGGUACUGACGCUGAGACGCGAAAGCGUGGGGAGCAAACAGGAUUAGAUACCCCCGUAGUCC